AAUGAACGCUGGCGGUAGGCCUAACACAUGCAAGUCGAACGGCAGCACAGUAAGAGCUUGCUCUUACGGGUGGCGAGUGGCGGACGGUUGAGGAAUACAUCGGAAUCUACUUUUUCGUGGGGGAUAACGUAGGGAAACUUACGCUAAUACCGCAUACGACCUACGGGUGAAAGCAGGGGAUCUUCGGACCUUGCGCGAUUGAAUGAGCCGAUGUCGGAUUAGCUAGUUGGCGGGGUAAAGGCCCACCAAGGCGACGAUCCGUAGCUGGUCUGAGAGGAUGAUCAGCCACACUGGAACUGAGACAGGGUACAGACUCCUACGGGAGGCAGCAGUGGGGAAUAUUGGACAAUGGGGGCAAGCGUGAUCCAGCAAUACCGCGUGGGUGAAGAAGGCCUUCGGGUUGGAAAGUCAUUUUGUUGGGAAAGAAAAGCAGCAGGUUAAUACGCCGCUGUUCUGACGGUACCCAAAGAAUAAGCACCGGCUAACUUCGUG
This 492-nucleotide ribosomal RNA is filed under the name uncultured bacterium. Its description in RNAcentral is "partial 16S ribosomal RNA". It matches the Rfam family "Bacterial small subunit ribosomal RNA", at positions 29 to 507 of the family's 1533-position model. The record is from RNAcentral.